AGUUAUUUGCAUAAGAACCCCUGGCUUCCUGGGAGGGCCUACAAAGAGGACUUUUGAGCAGCUGAAGGGCAGAUUUGCCACAUUUAGGGCCCAGCUACCCAAGGGGACGCUCUAGCCAAAUCCCAAAGGAGAGCACUUUGGAAAAGCAAGCCCUUACCACCACCUCAAGUCACAAGUGAGCCAGUCAACAUUUGCUCUGCUUGAGAGGGCACCUCAGUUGGUACAGUCUACCAUGGCACUGUGAAUAGUCUGUCUCCUCAGCUCCUCUGAGAUCCUUCCUAGAGAAGGGGGUGUCCUUGUGAGCCAGAGUGCAGCUGCCAUGAACUUCCACUGCAUUCAGUCAAAAACAUUUCUUAAGUGCAUCCUGGGCAGGUGAGGUGAGAGAACAAGACCAAAGGCUGUUACGGUCCAGAAAGGAAGAGACAAAUGUCAUCAAAACCAGAGGGGGUUAUCUUUUGUUUUACGGCUUGAUGUCUUCCAGAUGUGAAUAUAGCCACGCCUCCUUUUAUUAUAACUAACGUUCACAUGGCAUAUCUUUUUCUAUCUUUUUAAUUUCAACCUACCCUGGUAGUUGUAUUUAAAGUGAGUUUCUUGUAAAUAACAUAUGUUGGAUCAUUUUUUCUAUCCACUCAGUCAAUGUCUGUCUUUUAUUUAGUGUAUUUAGACCAUUUACAUUUAAGCUAAUUGUUGAUGUGUUAGGACUUAAAUCUGCCACUUUUUUGUUUUCUGUUUGUUUCCUCUAAUUCCUCCAUUUCUCUUUGUUUACCUUCCUCUGGGUUACCUGAGCAUUGCUUAAGAUUCCAUCUUGAUAUAUUGAUAAUGUUUUUUAGUAUCCUGUUUUGUAUAGUGUUCUUAGUGGUUGCUAUAGGUAUUACAAUAUAUACAUAACUUAUCACAGUCUACUGGUUGCAACAUUUACCACUUUCAAUGAGGUGUAGAAAUCUUAUUCCAUUUCAGUCCCUUUACCUGUUGCAUUUUUAAAAUAUGUUUUUCUUAAGUAUCUCCUCCAUCUAUACUGAACACUAGAUCAGAUGGUGUUAUAAUUUUUGCUUCAACCAUCAAAUAUGUUUUAAGAAACUAAUGAGAAGUGGGAUACUUUACCCCUAUUUUACCCAUUCUGAUGUUAUUUUUCCCUUUUUGAAGUUCCAAGCCUUCUUUUAUUAUCAUUUCCUUUAUGUAUAGAGAGUUUUCUCUAGCCAUUCUAAAAGCAUAGGCUUUCUAGCAACAAAACCUCUUAGUUUUUCUUAGUCUGAGAAUGUC
This 1260-nucleotide long non-coding RNA is filed under the name Equus caballus (horse). RNAcentral's name for it is "lncRNA (ENSECAG00000048929.1)". Lineage: Eukaryota; Metazoa; Chordata; Mammalia; Perissodactyla; Equidae. The record is from RNAcentral.